This 331-nucleotide unclassified non-coding RNA is filed under the name soil metagenome. Its description in RNAcentral is "partial contains 5.8S ribosomal RNA, internal transcribed spacer 2, and large subunit ribosomal RNA". The stretch from base 1 to 120 matches the Rfam family "5.8S ribosomal RNA", at positions 35 to 154 of the family's 154-position model. The record is from RNAcentral.
GAUGAAGAACGUAGCGAAAUGCGAUAAGUAAUGUGAAUUGCAGAAUUCAGUGAAUCAUCGAAUCUUUGAACGCACAUUGCGCCCCCUGGUAUUCCGGGGGGCAUGCCUGUUCGAGCGUCAUUUCACCACUCAAGCCUCGCUUGGUAUUGGGCAUCGCGGUCCGCCGCGUGCCUCAAAUCGACCGGCUGGGUCUUCUGUCCCCUAAGCGUUGUGGAAACUAUUCGCUAAAGGGUGUUCGGGAGGCUACGCCGUAAAACAACCCCAUUUCUAAGGUUGACCUCGGAUCAGGUAGGGAUACCCGCUGAACUUAUGCAUAUCAAUAAGCGGAGGA